GUGAGGUAAUGGCUCACCAAGGCUACGAUGGGUAGCUGGUCUGAGAGGACGAUCAGCCACACUGGGACUGAGACACGGCCCAGACUCCUACGGGAGGCAGCAGUGGGGAAUCUUGCGCAAUGCGCGAAAGCGUGACGCAGCAACGCCGCGUGGGUGAAGAAGGCCUUCGGGUUGUAAAGCCCUUUCAGCAGGGACGAAGCGAAAGUGACGGUACCUGCAGAAGAAGCGCCGGCUAACUACGUGCCAGCAGCCGCGGUAAUACGUAGGGCGCAAGCGUUGUCCGGAAUUAUUGGGCGUAAAGAGCUCGUAGGUGGUCUGUUACGUCUGCUGUGAAAACCUAGGGCUUAACCCUGGGCCUGCAGUGGAUACGGGCAGACUAGAGGUAGGUAGGGGGAAGAAUGGGAAUUCCCGGUGUAGCGGUGAAAUGCGCAGAUAUCGGGAGGAACACCGGGUGGCGAAAGGCGGUUCUCUGGGCCUUACCUGACACUGAGGAGCGAAAGCGUGGGGAGCGAACAGGAUUAGAUACCCUGGUAGUCCACACCGUAAACGUUGGGCGCUAAGGUGUGGGGUCCUUCCACGGAUUCCGUGCCGCAGCUAACGCAUUAAGCGCCCGCCUGGGGAGUACGGCCGCACGCUAA
Molecule: ribosomal RNA, 638 nt
Filed under: uncultured bacterium
Lineage: Bacteria
Description: bacterial SSU rRNA
Rfam family: Bacterial small subunit ribosomal RNA
Source: RNAcentral